UACGUAGGGUGCAAGCGUUGUCCGGAAUUAUUGGGCGUAAAGAGCUCGUAGGCGGUCAGUCGCGUCUGCUGUGAAAACUCGGGGCUUAACUCCGGGCCUGCAGUGGGUACGGGCUGACUAGAGUGCGGUAGGGGAGACUGGAAUUCCUGGUGUAGCGGUGAAAUGCGCAGAUAUCAGGAGGAACACCAGUGGCGAAGGCGGCUUCCUGGACCAGAGCUGACACUGAGGCGCGAAAGCGUGGGGAGCGAUCCGG
This 253-nucleotide ribosomal RNA is filed under the name uncultured bacterium. RNAcentral's name for it is "partial 16S ribosomal RNA". It matches the Rfam family "Bacterial small subunit ribosomal RNA", at positions 524 to 776 of the family's 1533-position model. The record is from RNAcentral.